This 251-nucleotide unclassified non-coding RNA is filed under the name uncultured fungus. Its description in RNAcentral is "sequence contains ITS1, 5.8S rRNA gene". The stretch from base 203 to 251 matches the Rfam family "5.8S ribosomal RNA", at positions 1 to 49 of the family's 154-position model. Lineage: Eukaryota; Fungi. The record is from RNAcentral.
UUUCCGUAGGUGAACCUGCGGAAGGAUCAUUAAAGUGUUUAUGCUGCUUCGGCGGCUCGGUGGUUUGGGCUUCGGCCCGCCGCCUUCACUAUCCUUAACACCUGUGAACUGUCUGUCGAGCCCGAGGCUUUUGCCGACGGCUCUUCAUUUUAUACCAAACUUACACUCUGAAAAAAAUGUCAUCUUAUUAUAAACUUAAUAAAACUUUUAACAACGGAUCUCUUGGCUCUCGCAUCGAUGAAGAACGCAGC